Molecule: ribosomal RNA, 370 nt
Filed under: uncultured bacterium
Lineage: Bacteria
Description: bacterial SSU rRNA
Rfam family: Bacterial small subunit ribosomal RNA
Source: RNAcentral
GGGCCCGCACAAGCGGUGGAGUAUGUGGUUUAAUUCGAUGCAACGCGAAGAACCUUACCAGGGCUUGACAUCCUGCGAAUCUCUGGGAAACCGGAGAGUGCCUUCGGGAACGCAGUGACAGGUGGUGCAUGGCUGUCGUCAGCUCGUGUCGUGAGAUGUUGGGUUAAGUCCCGCAACGAGCGCAACCCACGUCUUUAGUUGCCAGCAUUUAGUUGGGCACUCUAGAGAGACCGCCGGUGACAAACCGGAGGAAGUGUGGAUGACGUCAAGUCAUCAUGCCCCUUACGUCCUGGGCUACACACGUACUACAAUGCUACGGACAAAGGGCGGCCAACUUGCGAGAGUGAGCGAAUCCCAAAAAGUGCGUCGU